AAUAAAACCAGUCUUAUGGGUAAUCAACAUGCAGAAAAAUGUCUCUGCUAUACACUUUCAUUUAUUCAUUCAGUCAGUCAUCUGCUCACUUGUUUACACACUGACUCCAGCAAAAGUCACAAACACAGCUGAAAGUCAACACAUAUUCCACAAUCCAUAUGGAACAUACUUCCUUCACACCGUCUGGAAUAAAUUGUAAGGCUGUGAAUCAAGAUAUCUGGAAUCCAGCCUGUGUUGUCUCGAUCCCAUUCUAUUUCCCUGUAUCUCCAAUCUGUCCUAUAAAAUUAAAUGCACAAAGACUAUAACCAUAAAUUUGAAGAAUGUCUACAAUCUAUUCCCAUUUCUUUGAACUGUUAUGUGUAUAAUUUUUCUGCUUCUCAGUCUGUGUGUGUGUGUUAUAUACGAGAAAAAUCGUAUCUGGCUUCAUCCUCAGGCCCCCUGGCCACCUGGCACAGAUAGUGACCCUUCCAUCUGCCCCCUGCUGUCUUCCUGUUUGUGUGUGUUUUGUGGAUCCAGAGAGAUGGGAAUAAAAUGGCCCACAUGAGCCCAGAGUGCAGCUCUGCAUGUGCCAGGUGACUCCCUAGGCCUUCCCGAAGACCUCACUCCCCUCAGCCUUGGCAGCCAGGCUCAGGUGCGGUUCAUAAAGACCGGGCUACAACGCCAACAGGUGGCGCUGUUUUCUUCACCAAUUACGCCUUUGUUUGCUCUUUGGCAUCCAGUUUGUUUUGGACGAGUCCCCUCGCCCGCUGGACAAGAGCCAGGAGGAGUUUGUAUGUGUGUGGGCUGGUCUUUCCACCGACAUCGCUUCUCAAAGCCUCCUCGGACAGAGCCAGAAACGAUAAGCUCGCGAUGACGACAGAGAAGCCGCACUCACUUUUGUCCUUACCGAGGGUGCAUGUUCUCUGACCUAGCUUUUCAAGAUCUGCUCUGCAAGGACGUCUUCAACCCCCAUCAUCUUGGUGGAUUAGAGCAGGUCAUCCCAGUGACAGUGAUAAUGACUCCAGAUGAUUUCAGUCCAAAACUUCAGCUACUCGCUUGACGUCUGUCAAAGGAAGAAGUCUAUGAAGUCUACAACUUGAUUAACCUCAGUGCUGGAACUUUUACCCUUUUUCACUGAUGCACCUGGGGCAGCUGUGGAAAGAGACAGGCCACCACACAUGACAGGAGAGAGAGACAGAGAAGGAACGAACGGAGGAGAGCACACCGAGGAGGAGAGAGGUGCCCGUGGUGUUGGAGGAGCUCAUCAGACAGAGCCCUUCUCCAUCUGUCACAAAUCAUUUCUGCUCUGGAAGUAAGGAAAGGCAAAAUGUCAAAAUAUUUGAAUACAUUCCAUGGGAGUGUGUCACACUCGCAGAGGGAGAUGCUUGGCAGCAGUGGGGUGGAAAGGGAAAGGGUCGUCUACUGGAUGAAUUGGGAUUUUAUAGUGUUGUAAGAACAGUCAAUUAAAAAGAUGUGAUUAUAUAUGUGUAUAUGUACUAAAUAAAUCUAAAUUUCAUGAAUAGAUAACAACAAUAAUGACUAAAAUUACUUUUAAAAUACCUUGAGUGUUUGGUAUGCAACACUGCAUGAGGCCGAUAGUAAUUAUUUUUUGAACUCCUGUGUUCAUUUUAAUACCGUUUUCAUAGAAGUAACAAUUUGGUCAGUGUUAAUUGAUUGAAAUAUAUCGACUUGUAUAUUCACCCAGAAUGUGAUGAUUUUUACACUCAGAAUAACAUUUAAUUGAUCAAAAAAAAUUGUAUUUCAAAUAAAUGCUGUUUUUUUUUAACUUUAUUUAUCAAAUGAUCCUGAAAAAAAAUGCAUCACGGUUUCCGCAAAAAUAUUAAGAAGCAACUGUUUCAACAUUGAUAAUAAUAAGAAAUGUCAUAUUAGAAUGAUUUCUGAAGGAUCAUGGGACACUGGAGACUGGAGUAAUGACAUUUUAAAAUAGAGAAUAGAAAAAAGUAAUUUUGAAUUGUAAAAAUAUAUAUUUACUGUUUUUACUGUAUUUUUGAUGAGCAGAAAAGACUUGAGCAAAAAAUGUAAAAACCUUACAGAUCCCAAAAUUUGGAACGGUAUUGUAUUCAUGUCAGUGAUUUUGACAAUAAUUUUACAGCAGUGUCAUGAAAUAAAAGCAUUUAUUACUGUAGAUUUGAAGGACUGGUGCUUUUGAUACAGCAUUAAAAUUGAUUUCUUCUAAAUCAUUAUUAUAUAUAACAACAAAACCCUUUAGAUUUCAUUAGCAUUUCAUUAAUUUUUAUGCUUCACAGGAAUUACAAAAAUGCAAUUUAUUGGCUUUUUUUUUUUUAUUUCCAUUGUCUUUUAUUGAUUUUUCUUUUUGGGUUAAAGUUUUUUUUUUUCCUUUCCUCAGAGAAAGUGGAAAAAGAGUUUGUGUUUCACAAGUGUCCAUUAUUUCUACCACUUUUAUAUUGGUCUUUCUCCUGGAUUGCUCUUUUUGAAAAUUGUAACUUUUAAAGCUUUUCUCAAGAGCGAGUUCUAGUUCGUAUUGACUAGAAAAGAAAAGAGAGGCAGGUGUGAAGGACGCAGGGAUUUGAUCUCUGUACCUUUGAGGAAUAGUGAGAUAAGUGCUCUCAGAAAAGGUUUUGCGUGCCAAGACUGCAGAAUGAAAUAGCUAUUCAGUGUCUAGGUAACCUGCCCACUGUUUAUUCACUUAUUUAUUGCCUUAUAGAAA
Long non-coding RNA from Ctenopharyngodon idella (grass carp), 2668 nucleotides. RefSeq lists it as uncharacterized. The transcript has 4 exons. The record is from RefSeq and is a predicted model, not a curated record. Lineage: Eukaryota; Metazoa; Chordata; Actinopteri; Cypriniformes; Xenocyprididae.